RNAcentral lists this long non-coding RNA (2282 nucleotides) under Sparus aurata (gilthead seabream). Its description in RNAcentral is "lncRNA (ENSSAUG00010006785.1)". Lineage: Eukaryota; Metazoa; Chordata; Actinopteri; Spariformes; Sparidae. The record is from RNAcentral.
UGACGGGGCGGAGCUUUCAACUUUCUCUGAAAGACUACCAACAUGUUAAAGGAAGUUAUGUAAACUAAUACAUGUCUGCAUUAAAAAUAAAUGGGCGCUUUGACCUGAAACUCAUUUCAUUCUGUUUAACUCCAGCGUAAAGGAUCCGGCCUCUUACACUUUACGUCCCCGGAGGAAACGGACGGAGGGACGCAUUUACGCAUUACGCUUUACGUGUGGAGCGGCGAUAUAAAGUCAGCGAGCUGCCGAAUGAACAGCCAUUUGACUGACUGAACUCUUCUCCAACUUCAAUUUCACGUCAGCAGAUAAACAUAUAGGCUAUGGACGGAGGGACGUGUCUCCGGAGCAAACGGAGGUAUAGACAUAUAUGGACGGAGGGACGUACGGGGACCGGCUUUACGCAUUUACGCAUUUACACAUUACGCUUUACGCGUGGAGCGGCGAUAUAAAGUCAGCGAGCUGCCGAUAGAACAGCCAUCCGACUGACUGUCACCUCUCUCUCGAUGGAUUGUAUUGGAUAUUUCCGGACGUUUCUCUCGAUAUUUCUUCUUCAUUUUGAAUCAACGGAGGGGAAAUGUAAAAGUUGUUUAUUGUGUUCUCCUGAUAAAGAAACCUGUCAUAUUCGUCGUGGUUACCAGGUGUAUAAGCAGGUGUGUUCAGCCGGCCACAGUAUGGAGUACCUGGCCUUCAGAAAUCUGGUGGAGUGUCACACACAGAGGCCGAGGUCAAGGUGAUCGCUGAGGAGAAAUAAGAGUUCAUGGUGGAAAAGUUUUAAAUGGACCAGACUGUAUCCACAUGUGUAAUAAUGGUGUCCAUGUUUUUGGUUAUUAGUAGAAUGAAACUGUGAGUUCCUGCCAGCAGGUGGAGACAUCUGCUGUAUUCCAGCUUUCAGCUCUGACUUUAAAGUCGUCCUGUGUUGUGUUCAGGUGCAGGUUGUGGACGGUCCUGAUGAGAGUGGAGAGAUGUUGACUGAAUAAAGUGAAAACCUUCAGUUCUGUCUGAAGUCCACAGAACAUCUUUAAUCUGUGAGUGUCUGCUGUUGACUACAGCGGCCAUGAAGAACACAAAAGGCUGUUCAACAAGUCUGUUAGCUUGUUCUGUUCUCUAACAUGAUGGAAACAGUUUGAGGUCAUGAAAACAUAAUUAUGUUUAUUCUAUUUCAGCCAAUAGUUCCUUUAUAAUCUACAAACUGUUAACUGGAACGAGCUCUGAUUGGAAGCCGAGUUAAACAGAAUAAAAUGAGUUUCAGGUCAAAGCAUCAAAACUUUUAUUAGUUUACAAACUGGAUGAAAAAACUGAAUCACUGACACAAGUAAUGAACAUUUUGUCAACAUAGUUUCCUUUAACAUGUUCGUCAUUAAGUCUCUCCUCAAAGGUCCUCAGGAGCUGCAGGAGCUCCUGUUUGUGAUCAGGAGGUAGAGCAGGUUGUCUAGUGAUCGGAAGGUUGUUAGUUCGAAUCUCAGCUCCUCCAAGCUGCAUGUCCAAGUGUCCUUGAGCAAGAUACUGAACCCUAAAUUGCUCCUGAUGAACAGUUGUCACCUUGCAUGGCAGCUUCUGCCAUGAAAGAGUGAAUCUGACAAGUGUUGAAAAGCAGCUAAAAUAAGAGUCCAUUUAGUCAAAUUCAAGAAGCAUCUUCACCGGCUGCUGAUGGUCCAGACAGAGUUUGAGCUGCUCACUGUGCAGACUGCAGAGACUCAGUGGAGCUGCUGAAGUCCUCCUCUGUCCACUCCUUCAACAGCAGGUCUGUAAGGUUAAGUGGUAACAUUCUUGAUGACCUUCUCUUACAAAGUGGACACUCCUGUAUCUGUGUGUCUGUCCAGCACUUGUGCAGACAGUCUUUACAGAAGCUGUGGCUGCAUGACAGGACGAAAGGCUCUUUAAAGAUGUCCCUGCAGAUAGGACAGGUGAGAUCCUCCUCUGGAUGUGAAUCCAUGUUCUCCUGUGACAAGACAGGUAAAAUAAGUAAAUAUUAGCUUUAAUGAUGAUAUUUCCCUGAUCCAACACAACAGUACACUGCUGUGUAUUACACAUGAAUGACUGCCAGUCUCUAAAACUACCAGCAACUAAGUCCAACAUGUGCAUUUACAGGCAGAAUUUAAAAUACCCAAAAUUCUAAAUGAGGUUCUGAAUGCAGAUUCACCGCAGCGUCACUCUGCCGUUAGAGCGCGUUGGCUGCAUGCCUUUGCACCAGACUCCAUUUAAAUUACACUAAAAAUAUUUUUUAAAUGCAUAUCAUAUAUACAUAUCUACUGAAAAACCUCAACAUACAAGAAAGAUGAUUC